RNAcentral lists this ribosomal RNA (254 nucleotides) under uncultured bacterium. Its description in RNAcentral is "partial 16S ribosomal RNA". It matches the Rfam family "Bacterial small subunit ribosomal RNA", at positions 524 to 776 of the family's 1533-position model. The record is from RNAcentral.
UACGUAGGAGGCGAGCGUUGUCCGGAAUUACUGGGCGUAAAGCGCGCGUAGGCGGUUCUUUGCGUAGGCGGUGAAAGCCCCCGGCUCACCUGGGGGAGUGCCGCCUAAACGGGGGAACUUAGAGGGCGGUAGGGGCUGGCGGAACGCCCGGAGUAGCGGUGAAAUGCGUUGAGAUCGGGCAGAACACCAGUGGCGAAGGCGGCCAGCUGGGCCGACCCUGACGCUGAGGCGCGAAAGCCAGGGGAGCGAACGGA